AGCUUUGCACAGUGGCAGUAUCGUAGCCAGUGAGGUUUAUCUGAGAUGCAGUUAUUGCUAAUUGAAAAGUUUUCCCAAGUGCUCAGAGACAGGAACAGACAAUAAUAUAGAAGCAAUUUGCAAUUAACACAGUGA
Small nuclear RNA from Octodon degus (degu), 135 nucleotides. Its record names the gene U4. It matches the Rfam family "U4 spliceosomal RNA". Rfam says of the family: U4 small nuclear RNA (U4 snRNA) is a component of the major U2-dependent spliceosome. The structure of U4 snRNA from yeast and human has been reported. NCBI's taxonomy places the organism in Eukaryota, Metazoa, Chordata, Mammalia, Rodentia, Octodontidae. The record is from Ensembl.